This 253-nucleotide ribosomal RNA is filed under the name uncultured bacterium. RNAcentral's name for it is "partial 16S ribosomal RNA". It matches the Rfam family "Bacterial small subunit ribosomal RNA", at positions 524 to 776 of the family's 1533-position model. The record is from RNAcentral.
UACGGAGGGUGCUAGCGUUGUUCGGAAUUACUGGGCGUAAAGGGCGUGUAGGCGGUCCGCAAAGUCAGAUGUGAAAGCCCUUGGCUUAACCAAGGAACUGCAUUUGAUACUGGCGGGCUAGAGUACGGGAGAGGGAGGUGGAAUUCCUGGUGUAGCGGUGAAAUGCGUAGAUAUCAGGAGGAACACCGGUGGCGAAGGCGGCCUCCUGGACCGAUACUGACGCUGAGACGCGAAAGCGUGGGUAGCAAACAGG